Paramuricea clavata is the source of this 1381-nucleotide non-coding RNA. Lineage: Eukaryota; Metazoa; Cnidaria; Anthozoa; Malacalcyonacea; Plexauridae. The record is from the annotation of a GenBank genome assembly.
AGUAGAUUAAAAUGUUCUUUGUUAAAUAUGGGGUUACUUAUGGUUAAUUUGACCACAGUGUUGGUUAAUUAAUUUGAUCACUAUCGUGGCUAAUUCAACAAGGAUUAAAUCGACAUCGUACCCAGGGUCAGGGUCAAUAUAUUCUCUUAAAUUCAAUGUACCUUUCUUUAUUUUGCUUUACACAGAAGACACAAUAUGCAAGUUCAAGAAUGAUUUAACUGACAGUUCUAUUGUGGCGAUAAGCGAAGCACCAAUAUGAUUGAGCAGUUGAAUAAGGAGCUUUUCUUUUGUGAAUCUAAAUUUGGAUUUUUAGGAUUCGGAUUUUGCGGAUUCGUUAAACAAAUGGAACGAAUUGUGGGAAUCGGAAUUCGCCUGCUGUUUUCCCGCCACUUUUACAAUAAGUUUUCUGUCCCACUAUACCUUUCGGUCGGGUCAAGCUGCAUGCUAGAAGGCCAGAAGCCCAAAAAGAACGUUGCAUCCUAAUCAAGUUUCAGAUUGAAUCCGAAAAAUCCAUAUGUUGAGGUGGAUUCAUCAGAUACGAAUCUAUUUUAAGAUUUUGUUAAACGAAACUGAAAAUCGAUAAUCGGAUUUGAAGAUCCAAAUCCGGAUUGCACUAAAGGAACGCACCCAUAUGACAUGUACAUUUUAAUGCUUCCAAUCUCAACUACAGCAGACAUUUUACGAUACAACUGGAAUUUAUCACGUCAAAGAAUGCGUCAUUUGGAUUUGACUCUGGGGUAAGCACUUCACGCAAGUUUCAAUCCAUCUAAACAUUAGGUAUGCGCAACGCAAUGUGGGAUACAUGUGGGUCAAAUAUUCAUUGUUUGACAGUGACAUCACGUAAGGAAUUCUAAGGUUAAUUGGGUUAUUGAAUCUACAAAAUCAGAUGGUGCGUAACAGGGCGUCUUUGGUCAGGACUAUAAUAAUCACAAUUAUUCCCUCAUAGUCACCUUUCAUUACUUGAGGUCCACGGAUAUAUAGUUCACCUCUUUCAUUCUCGCCAAGAGCUUCUCCAGUGGUUAAAUCAAUCACCUAGUAGAUUCAUUAGAUCACCUCUUUUAUCAUUCAUAUAACAAUAAAUUACCAAACAACUAGACAUAGAUAGUUUAUCUGCCAUUUUUUCGAAGUCAAAAUGACUUCCGAAAAGGAUCAAUAAGGGCAUUUUGACUAGCUAGUUAUAUGCAAUCCACUUUGCAAACCAGGUUUAUUCAGCAUCAGGGCUCUCCCCCCCCCCCCCCCCGGUUUAGGCCAAAUCAAUAUUCUGUGGAAAAACGGCUGUAGCAAAAUCCUGAAAACGCCCAGGAAAAGAGGUGCAUAUGGUCGAAGGGAAUUCUCACUCCUGGUCGAAUUCAAUACGUGAAAUUUAUAUCUACAACUAUAU